This 535-nucleotide ribosomal RNA is filed under the name uncultured bacterium. RNAcentral describes it as "bacterial SSU rRNA". It matches the Rfam family "Bacterial small subunit ribosomal RNA", at positions 997 to 1529 of the family's 1533-position model. The record is from RNAcentral.
ACUCUAGAGAUAGAGCUUUCCCCUUCGGGGGACAAAGUGACAGGUGGUGCAUGGUUGUCGUCAGCUCGUGUCGUGAGAUGUUGGGUUAAGUCCCGCAACGAGCGCAACCCUUAAGCCUAGUUGCCAUCAUUAAGUUGGGCACUCUAGGUUGACUGCCGGUGACAAACCGGAGGAAGGUGGGGAUGACGUCAAAUCAUCAUGCCCCUUAUGAUUUGGGCUACACACGUGCUACAAUGGACAAUACAAAGGGCAGCUAAACCGCGAGGUCAUGCAAAUCCCAUAAAGUUGUUCUCAGUUCGGAUUGUAGUCUGCAACUCGACUACAUGAAGCUGGAAUCGCUAGUAAUCGUAGAUCAGCAUGCUACGGUGAAUACGUUCCCGGGUCUUGUACACACCGCCCGUCACACCACGAGAGUUUGUAACACCCGAAGCCGGUGGAGUAACCAUUUAUGGAGCUAGCCGUCGAAGGUGGGACAAAUGAUUGGGGUGAAGUCGUAACAAGGUAGCCGUAUCGGAAGGUGCGGCUGGAUCACCUC